AAUGAACGCUGGCGGCGUGCUUAACACAUGCAAGUCGAACGGUGAAGGCGGAGCUUGCUCUGCUGGAUCAGUGGCGAACGAGUGAGUAACACGUGAGCAAUCUGCCCCUGACUCUGGGAUAAGCGCUGGAAACGGCGUCUAAUACUGGAUACGAGCUGCGAAGGCAUCUUCAGCAGCUGGAAAGAAUUUCGGUCAGGGAUGAGCUCGCGGCCUAUCAGCUUGUUGGUGAGGUAAUGGCUCACCAAGGCGUCGACGGGUAGCCGGCCUGAGAGGGUGACCGGCCACACUGGGACUGAGACACGGCCCAGACUCCUACGGGAGGCAGCAGUGGGGAAUAUUGCACAAUGGGCGAAAGCCUGAUGCAGCAACGCCGCGUGAGGGACGACGGCCUUCGGGUUGUAAACCUCUUUUAGCAGGGAAGAAGCGAAAGUGACGGUACCUGCAGAAAAAGCGCCGGCUAACUACGUG
This 468-nucleotide ribosomal RNA is filed under the name uncultured bacterium. Its description in RNAcentral is "partial 16S ribosomal RNA". It matches the Rfam family "Bacterial small subunit ribosomal RNA", at positions 29 to 507 of the family's 1533-position model. The record is from RNAcentral.